This 496-nucleotide ribosomal RNA is filed under the name uncultured bacterium. RNAcentral's name for it is "partial 16S ribosomal RNA". It matches the Rfam family "Bacterial small subunit ribosomal RNA", at positions 28 to 506 of the family's 1533-position model. The record is from RNAcentral.
GAUGAACGCUGGCGGCGUGCCUAAUACAUGCAAGUCGAGCGAACAGACGAGGAGCUUGCUCCUCUGACGUUAGCGGCGGACGGGUGAGUAACACGUGGAUAACCUACCUAUAAGACUGGGAUAACUUCGGGAAACCGGAGCUAAUACCGGAUAAUAUAUUGAACCGCAUGGUUCAAUAGUGAAAGACGGUUUUGCUGUCACUUAUAGAUGGAUCCGCGCCGCAUUAGCUAGUUGGUAAGGUAACGGCUUACCAAGGCGACGAUGCGUAGCCGACCUGAGAGGGGGAUCGGCCACACUGGAACUGGGACCCGGUCCAGAUCCCUACGGGGGGCAGCAGUGGGGAAUCUUCCGCAAUGGGCGAAAGCCUGACGGAGCAACGCCGCGUGAGUGAUGAAGGUCUUCGGAUCGUAAAACUCUGUUAUUAGGGAAAAAAAAAUGUGUAAGUAACUAUGCACGUCUUGACGGUACCAAAUCAGAAAGCCACGGCUAACUACGU